UGCCUGGGCCGGCUGCAAGCUGCUGGCUGCUAGCAGGGCUCCAGACUACCUGUCAGUGGGUGGCGGGCAGCGAGCGCGGGUGCACCACACACACUGCCGGAUGUAAGCCUUGAGUUGCGGAGCAGCCAAGCAGCAGUCGCUUCCUUGACGAUGGUGUGCCAUCUCUGAAACGACUGGGACGUCAGCAGAAGAAACGAGUGAGCUGCGAUCAACCACGGAGUGCGACAAGACGGCUGCUGCCAGGUAUCGAACGCGGACCCGUCGCCUUGCUGGAGAUGUAUGUGACGUGAAGCGGCCGCACCCUGUCC
Long non-coding RNA from Schistocerca serialis cubense, 308 nucleotides. RefSeq lists it as uncharacterized. The transcript is spliced from 3 exons. Lineage: Eukaryota; Metazoa; Arthropoda; Insecta; Orthoptera; Acrididae. The record is from RefSeq and is a predicted model, not a curated record.